RNAcentral lists this long non-coding RNA (1694 nucleotides) under Olea europaea (common olive). RNAcentral's name for it is "long non-coding RNA (OEUR_LNC004420)". Lineage: Eukaryota; Viridiplantae; Streptophyta; Magnoliopsida; Lamiales; Oleaceae. The record is from RNAcentral.
AAACGUAGAGAGGAAGCAGAGAACGAAGCUGGAUAAAAAGAGGGAGAAAAAGGAAGGAAAAAAAAGAAGAAGAAAAGAAAGGAAAUGAAAGAGGUUGAUGAUUUUUGUAAGUUUUGGUUCUUCAUUUCUUCAACUUAUCCUUAUUUUAAAGAGUUAAGUUAAUUAAAUUUCUAGGGUUUAUGAACCAUUCAUUUAUAUUCGAAGUUUAGCAAGAAUUAGAGAUUAUUAUUAUAUUUUUUAGGUAUUAAGCAAGAAUAUAUCAAAGAAAUAUUUGAAUAUUGAAAUUGAAGAAAGUUGAAUUUUGAAAUGGGGUUGUAAUUUAGAGCUUGAAUCGUUGAUAUGUUGUGUGUAUAUGAUAUAAAACACCUUAUUUGUUAUUUAUAAUAGUAAGAUAUGAAGUUAAGGUUAGAUUUUGGUAUUUAUAAGCAAUUUUCAUGCAAAAUUCAUGUGCAGGAGUUAAUUCUGAAAAUCUGCCCAGUAUAGUGCUAAUUCUCAAAGGUUCUGCUGCCGGAUUUCAAUAUUAUGGGGUUUUAGUGCUGUUUUUGUCAAAACUCUUGUUUUCAGAUUUUUAAAGGCUUGAAUGAAGUUAUAUUACAAGUGUUGAAGUUUAUGUAUUGGAAUAAAUUAUGUAUAGGGCUUAUAUAUGUAUAAGUUAUUGAUUUUAAGGAAGUGUGAGUAAUUUAAUGGAAUUGAUAAUGAAUGGUGAUUAGUUGAUAAAUCAUUAGUGAGGAGAAAAGAUGGAAAAUUGGAGAUGUAAGAGUAAUAUAGAAAUUGAGAAGUUGAGAGGUAGAAUUGUAUUAAUUUAAUUAUCUAAUUUUAAUUUGAGAAAGUAUACCGUUAUUUCAGGUAAGAAACAUGAAAGCUUGGAAUGGCUCGUUGCCAGAUUUCUAUCCAUGGAUCUGUGAAUGGAAAAAUAUAAAUAUUUUUAAAAUAUUUAUGAAUUAAGUAUAUUAUUAAAGUAUGUGCAAUUAUGUGUUCGAAUUAUAUGGUUAUUAUGGAAAUAUCUUUUAUUAUGAUACAUGUGGACUUUCAAAGAUUGCAUACGGUACAUUGUGAAUUAUGUGAUUUUGAGAUCGACUAGAAAAGUACCCUGAUUAUAUAUUUUUUCUAGUUUACUGAGGAGCAUUGGUCGUGUUCUAUACUACACUGAGGGGUUGACUGGGGAUGAAGGGGUCGUGAUCGUGUACAUAUAGUUCACUGAGGGGCCUUGGCCCUAUUCUAGCAUUGAUUACUAGAAUUGAUUACCAGAGGUCAUGAGACUCGCUUUCGUUCAUGGAGGGGGCCAAGCACGAGCGGCAGAUUACAGAUUUUAGUCAGAGGGUACAUUUUUGGUGGAUCACAUGUGAUGUGAUGAGAUGAUGGUAUAGAUAUCAACUGAUGGCUAUAUUGUGAUUAUGAGAUGAUAUUUAUAGUGUUAUGAGAAUGUCUCACUUUUUGUCUAUAAUUGUACGAGGCUAUUAUGUGAAAUAUUAAAUGAUAUGAGCUUGAUGUUUGAUAAAAAUGUUUAAAGGAGAAAGUAUGAUUAUUUUUGAAUUUUUUCACUCACUAAGCUAUCAACUUAUUUUUUUCCAUGAUUUUUCUCACUAGUAGCAUUGGUCCUUGAUAGCUUGAGAAGCCUAGUGAUUUUAGAGUUAGAGCCACACGAUAUAUUGAAUAAUAUGAGUCAAUUUGAUAAACCACGAAGUAAAUUUUUG